This 253-nucleotide ribosomal RNA is filed under the name uncultured bacterium. RNAcentral's name for it is "partial 16S ribosomal RNA". It matches the Rfam family "Bacterial small subunit ribosomal RNA", at positions 524 to 776 of the family's 1533-position model. The record is from RNAcentral.
UACGUAGGGGGCUAGCGUUGUCCGGAAUCAUUGGGCGUAAAGAGCGUGUAGGCGGCCCGGUAAGUCCGCUGUGAAAGUCGGGGGCUCAACCCUCGGAUGCCGAUCGAUACUGUCAGGCUAGAGUCCGGAAGAGGCGAGUGGAAUUCCUGGUGUAGCGGUGAAAUGCGCAGAUAUCAGGAGGAACACCAAUGGCGAAGGCAGCUCGCUGGGACGGUACUGACGCUGAGGCGCGAAAGCGUGGGGAGCAAACAGG